This 753-nucleotide long non-coding RNA is filed under the name Brachypodium distachyon (stiff brome). RNAcentral describes it as "long non-coding RNA (BDIS_LNC002295)". The record is from RNAcentral. Lineage: Eukaryota; Viridiplantae; Streptophyta; Magnoliopsida; Poales; Poaceae.
UGGUGGCGGCAUGGUGCGGCAACGAAGACGAGGGUUUGGGUGGGUUGGGAUCAGGAAAUAGCGCGAGCGCGUAGCAGAUUAGGAGGGUGUGGGUUCCUGUGCUUGCGCUUGCUGAGGUGAGUGCUACCGGGAGACCUCUUCGCCGAUUUCGCCCAUCAGCGCCACCUGCGGCAGCAUGGUGCGACGGCAGUUUUGGGAGCGCGACUAACCAUUUAUUUUCUUUUGUUUUUAUCCAGUUCAACGCAUGUCCGCGCGAGCACCACCACCCCUCUUCCCUUCUUUUCAUUUUUUUUAUUUUUACAAAGUUGAAAAGUAACUUCUGGAAAACCAAAAGAUGGAAAAAUUAAAUAAAAUUUGGAAUAAUGGAAAGUUGGAAAACUAAAAGUUUAGAAAAGUAGAAACAAAGACGAUGAAAAAAGACAAAAAGGUAAAAAAAACAUAUUCAACUAGUCUCAAAAAUGGGUUCUCGAAAUCUACGCCAAAUAGUCGUCCCCGUACUAUCACCCAAAGGAUAUAGAGGAGGAGCAUGAAGGCGGUAGAGGAUUGCCUGGCCAGAUCCAUGAUUAUCGGAUCAGGAAUUCUAUCCAAUGUCUAGUCAAGUCGUCGGUGGUGAUAGAUCAAGAGAAGUCAAAGAGAACCAACCUCCAGAGGCGGCGGCAGGAGACAUUGGAGGAACGGGAGAGGGAGGCGGCUAGGGUGAGGGUUCUGGAAUUUUGAGGACCGGGGUCCUGACUACAAAUUUGGUGUUAGUGG